RNAcentral lists this ribosomal RNA (707 nucleotides) under uncultured archaeon. Its description in RNAcentral is "bacterial SSU rRNA". It matches the Rfam family "Archaeal small subunit ribosomal RNA", at positions 151 to 860 of the family's 1478-position model. The record is from RNAcentral.
ACCGGAUAAUCCGUGAACGCUGGAAUGCCUCACGGUUGAAAGCUUUAGCGUCUGAGGAUGGGUCUGCGGCCGAUUAGGUAGUUGCUGGGGUAACGUCCCAACAAGCCGAUAAUCGGUACGGGUUGUGAGAGCAAGAGCCCGGAGAUGGAUUCUGAGACACGAAUCCAGGCCCUACGGGGCGCAGCAGGCGCGAAAACUUUACACUGCGCGAAAGCGCGAUAAGGGGACCUCGAGUGCGUGCGCAAUGCGUACGCUUUUCAGAUGCCUAAAAAGCAUGUGGAAUAAGGGCCGGGCAAGACCGGUGCCAGCCGCCGCGGUAACACCGGCGGCUCAAGUGGUGGCCGCUAUUAUUGGGCUUAAAGGGUCCGUAGCCGGACCAGUUAGUCCCUUGGGAAAUCUUACGGCUUAACCGUAAGGCUGCCAAUGGAUACUGCUGGUCUUGGGACCGGGAGAGGUAAGAGGUACUUCAGGGGUAGGAGUGAAAUCCUGUAAUCCUUGAGGGACCGCCAGUGGCGAAGGCGUCUUACUAGAACGGGUCCGACGGUGAGGGACGAAAGCUAGGGGCACGAACCGGAUUAGAUACCCGGGUAGUCCUAGCCGUAAACGAUGCGAGCUAGGUGUCACGUGGAUUGCGAAUCCAUGUGGUGCCGAAGGGAAACCGUGAAGCUCGCCGCCUGGGAAGUACGGCCGCAAGGCUGAAACUUAAG